Molecule: ribosomal RNA, 504 nt
Filed under: uncultured bacterium
Lineage: Bacteria
Description: bacterial SSU rRNA
Rfam family: Bacterial small subunit ribosomal RNA
Source: RNAcentral
GACGAACGCUGGCGGCGUGGAUUAGGCAUGCAAGUCGAACGGUAUCAUCCUUUCGGGGGUGAGAGAGUGGCGAACUGGUGAGUAACACGUAGGUUAUCUACCCUCAAGACGGGGACAACCCAGGGAAACUUGGGCUAAUACCGGAUGUGAGCAACUUUUAGUUGUUUGAAAGGUGGCGUAAGCUGUCGCUUGGGGAUGAGCCUGCGUCCUAUUAGUUAGUUGGUGAGGUAACGGCUCACCUAGGCAAUGAUAGGUAGGCGGCCUUAACGGGUGGUCGCCCACACUGGGAUUGAGAUACGGCCCAGACUCCUACGGGAGGCAGCAGUCGAGAAUAGUCUACAAUGGUCGGAAGACUGAUAGUGCGACGCCGCGUGAACGAUGAAUCCCUUCGGGGUGUAAAGUUCUUUUAUAUGUGAGCAGUGCUUCUUAUAUUAACAGUAUGGGGAAGAGAUAUUAGCAUAUGAAUAAGCAACGGCUAACUCCGUGCCAGCAGCCGCGGUUUAA